RNAcentral lists this ribosomal RNA (253 nucleotides) under uncultured bacterium. RNAcentral's name for it is "partial 16S ribosomal RNA". It matches the Rfam family "Bacterial small subunit ribosomal RNA", at positions 524 to 776 of the family's 1533-position model. The record is from RNAcentral.
UACGAAGGGGGCUAGCGUUGUUCGGAUUUACUGGGCGUAAAGCGCCCGUAGGCGGAUCGAUCAGUCAGGGGUGAAAUCCCAGAGCUCGACUCUGGAACUGCCUUUGAUACUGUCGAUCUGGAGUAUGGAAGAGGUGAGUGGAAUUCCGAGUGUAGAGGUGAAAUUCGUAGAUAUUCGGAGGAACACCAGUGGCGAAGGCGGCUCACUGGUCCAUUACUGACGCUGAGGUGCGAAAGCGUGGGGAGCAAACAGG